GUAGUCUUACCCACGCGCGAGUCAAAGAGCGUGCGCCAAUACUCGCCCCUCGUCGCGGAUGUUUUGGUCGGCGGGGCGGCGGUGUUUGGUGGUGAGAGGAGGAGGAGUGGGUUGGGGUUCAGCACUGGAUUUAAUAGUGAAGUGGGUUUGGGUUUGGGUGGGUUUGGAAGUGAAAAGAUUGGUUUUUUGAAAGAAAGGGUUUGAAGAGUGAAACAAUGAAGUGGAAGAAGAAGCCAUUGUUAAUUUUAGAUCCAAAAGUGUUUCAGAUUCAGGGUUGAAGAGGUUUUAGAUCUCAUCAUUACUCAAUUAAAUAAUUAUAAUUAUUAUUCACAUUAGCAUAUGAAAAAUUGUUUUAAUUGAAAGGGAUAGUGAAAACUGGAAGUAUACU
Lupinus albus (white lupine) is the source of this 388-nucleotide non-coding RNA. The record is from the annotation of a GenBank genome assembly. Lineage: Eukaryota; Viridiplantae; Streptophyta; Magnoliopsida; Fabales; Fabaceae.